This 492-nucleotide ribosomal RNA is filed under the name uncultured bacterium. RNAcentral describes it as "partial 16S ribosomal RNA". It matches the Rfam family "Bacterial small subunit ribosomal RNA", at positions 29 to 507 of the family's 1533-position model. The record is from RNAcentral.
AGUGAACGCUGGCGGUAGGCCUAACACAUGCAAGUCGAACGGCAGCACAGUAAGAGCUUGCUCUUACGGGUGGCGAGUGGCGGACGGGUGAGGAAUACAUCGGAAUCUACUUUUUCGUGGGGGAUAACGUAGGGAAACUUACGCUAAUACCGCAUACGACCUACGGGUGAAAGCAGGGGAUCUUCGGACCUUGCGCGAUUGAAUGAGCCGAUGUCGGAGUAGCUAGUUGGCGGGGUAAAGGCCCACCAAGGCGACGAUCCGUAGCUGGUCUGAGAGGAUGAUCAGCCACACUGGAACUGAGCCACGGUCCAGACUCCUACGGGAGGCAGCAGUGGGGAAUAUUGGACAAUGGGCGCAAGCCUGAUCCAGCCAUACCGCGUGGGUGAAGAAGGCCUUCGGGUUGUAAAGCCCUUUUGUUGGGAAAGAAAAGCAGCAGGUUAAUACCCCGCGGUUCUGACGGUACCCAAAGAAGAAGCACCGGCUAACUUCGUG